Arabidopsis thaliana (thale cress) is the source of this 449-nucleotide long non-coding RNA. RefSeq annotates it as other RNA. Lineage: Eukaryota; Viridiplantae; Streptophyta; Magnoliopsida; Brassicales; Brassicaceae. The record is from RefSeq. The transcript has a single exon.
AUCGUGUUCUUGAUCCCAGACCUUAUCGGGUGCGUGAUUCUCAAGUGCUUUUCUUUGCGAGCUAAAACAGAGUGUUUCCUCUCAUGCUCUGUUCCGGUUUUGCUUCACGUUCAUGCUUGUUGGGGUUUGGUGUUGAAGUCUGGUUUGGGAAUCAGAGAAGCUUCCCAAGCAACUUCGCUUUCAUUUUGGGUUAAUGUUGUCUUGUUGAGUAUUUACGUUAAAUUAUCGCCUUCUUGCGCCAAAACAUGGACCGGGUUCUCCCCAGAGGCUCUUGAGAACGUUAUGGUGUUUCUUUGGUCUUCCAUCUGCAUUCAUGGUUUGGUUAGACUGGUGGUACACAUAUAUGAUUCAUGUCUUCUUGUAUAUAUCAUAUCUUUAAUGUUGAUCAUAUCUUGAUGGAAUCAUAACGAUUUGGUCAUACAAGAAAAUGGUCUUCCUCUCAGUCUCAG